Long non-coding RNA from Ziziphus jujuba (common jujube), 1644 nucleotides. RefSeq lists it as uncharacterized. The transcript is spliced from 2 exons. The record is from RefSeq and is a predicted model, not a curated record. NCBI's taxonomy places the organism in Eukaryota, Viridiplantae, Streptophyta, Magnoliopsida, Rosales, Rhamnaceae.
AAAAUCUUAAAAAUCAAUUUUUCUUCAAAUUAUAACAUUUUUCAAAUAAGGUUUAAUAUUGAAUUUGUUUUAUGAUGGAUGAUAUGAUGGAUGAUGGGAGGACAAGCAAGCUUUCAACCUUUUGGCCCAUCACGGAGUUAAUGGGUAGAUAAUAGUUGAUGAGAUGGAAGGAAAGGGUUUUUGACAAAACCAACCACGUAAAAAAAAAAACUAAUCAAUAUUUUACACAUUCGGACUAAAAUAUCUUUAUUUAUUUGUUUAUUUAUUUUUUGUUUUUGGUUUUCCUUUUAUCUAUUUUCCCUUUGAAAACGUAGCUAGGGCUUUCCGAAAAAGACCAUCCCGGUCGCUAUUUUCACCGAAAUUCUCCUCCCUUCGUCGACGUCGUACUCGCUCAUCGUUGUUUCGACAAGAGUCGUUCGUUUGAGAGCCACCCAGAGACAGAGGAGAGACACCAAAGGCAAAGCCUUCUCAUACCGUUCGCCGUCGUCGUCGUCGUCCUCGCACCACCGUCGUCUCGUUCGUCGUCGUCGUCCUUACACCACUGUCGUCCCACCAGGAGCUAAUCGUCACCACAGCUGCAGCUUUACUUUAGCUUACAGAGAUGAAGUGAGAAGAAACGGCGGGCCAAACUUAUCGCGCAGUCGAGAAACCUCUCUCUGAAAGCACCACCGGUGAGGUCUCUUACUCCUUCUCCUUCUCCUCUCGUGAUCAGCAAAUUUUUUUUUUUUUUUUUUUUUAUAUGAUGUGGGGCUUUUUGAAAAGAUGGGAUUUGAUAUUAUAAUGGAAAAUGCCGGAGUGGGUCUUAAUCUGAUGCUCAACCACAUUUGCAGAUAGAUUACAGCAUGAGUGGAGACUGUGUUUUUUAAUUUCUACGUUUUUUUGGUUUUGUGAUUAAUAGGUACUGAUUUUAUGUUGUUAUGUGGUAUUGAGAGUUUCAGCUUGUGAGUGGGCGGGAAUUACAUUGUAGUUUGUAUGCUUUUGGGAUUUUUCUUGCUGUGCUAAUUUGACUGAGUAAUAACUGUAAUAUAAUGUAUGUAUAAUAUAUUAUGAUAUAUGUUGUUAAAUCUUGUUUUGGUUUUUGCAAUUUUGAAUCAUUUGAAUGAUGAUGAACCUCAAUUUAUUUUAUUUUAUUUUCUUUUUCUUUUUCAUCUUUCUAGUGUUCAAUUGUGGUUAUUGUAUGAUUACUUUAUGUUUGCUAUGCAAGAAAACAUAUUAUGAAUCAUGUGCAAAUGCAAUCAGGCAUUCCAUAAGAGCCCAUUCUCCUUUGGACCCUUGCCUGCCUUACUAGCUCUAGUGUUAUGGGCAUGCCCCACUAGUGGAUUCAGUCCUUUCGCUUCUAUAAAGAGAGUGGUUGUAACAUCAUCCUUUGCUUCAGUUGCCGCCAAUGGAAAACCUCUUACUCCUGAUGUGGUAGUUGAUGAGACAUGGUUUUCAGAUUUUGUAUAUUGUGAGCAGCAGAAGGUGCAUACUUACAUGUUAAAGUGUUUUUAUUGUAAUCUCUUUCCAAGUUUCUUGUUAGUUUACUUCACUGGGAUAUCUUACAUAAUAAACAUAUUUUUAGAUACCAUUUAUUAGAAAUUUAUAGUUAAUGAUUUUUUUUAGUGAAAAAAGGAAAAAAGUAUAAAUCUUGUAUCAUUCUAUUUA